Molecule: ribosomal RNA, 375 nt
Filed under: uncultured organism
Description: partial 16S ribosomal RNA
Rfam family: Bacterial small subunit ribosomal RNA
Source: RNAcentral
GAAGGGGGGCUAGCGUUGCUCGGAAUCACUGGGCGUAAAGGGCGCGUAGGCGGCGUUUUAAGUCGGGGGGUGAAAGCCUGUGGCUCAACCACAGAAUGGCCUUCGAUACUGGGACGCUUGAGUAUGGUAGAGGUUGGUGGAACUGCGAGUGUAGAGGUGAAAUUCGUAGAUAUUCGCAAGAACACCGGUGGCGAAGGCGGCCAACUGGACCAUUACUGACGCUGAGGCGCGAAAGCGUGGGGAGCAAACAGGGAUUAGAUACCCUGGUAGUCCACGCCGUAAACGAUGAAUGCCCAGCUGUUGGGGUGCUUGCACCCGCAGUAGCGCAGCUAACGCUUUGAGCAUUCCCGCCUGGGGAGUACGGUCGCAAGAUUA